GACGAACGCUGGCGGCGUGCUUAACACAUGCAAGUCGAACGGAAAGGCCCUGCUUUUGUGGGGUGCUCGAGUGGCGAACGGGUGAGUAACACGUGAGUAACCUGCCCUUGACUUUGGGAUAACUUCAGGAAACUGGGGCUAAUACCGGAUAGGAGCUCCUGCUGCAUGGUGGGGGUUGGAAAGUUUCGGCGGUUGGGGAUGGACUCGCGGCUUAUCAGCUUGUUGGUGGGGUAGUGGCUUACCAAGGCUUUGACGGGUAGCCGGCCUGGGAGGGUGACCGGCCACAUUGGGACUGAGAUACGGCCCAGAAGCCUACGGGAGGCAGCAGUGGGGAAUAUUGCACAAUGGGCGGAAGCCUGAUGCAGCAACGCCGCGUGCGGGAUGACGGCCUUCGGGUUGUAAACCGCUUUCGCCUGUGACGAAGCGUGAGUGACGGUAAUGGGUAAAGAAGCACCGGCUAACUACGUG
RNAcentral lists this ribosomal RNA (468 nucleotides) under uncultured bacterium. RNAcentral describes it as "partial 16S ribosomal RNA". It matches the Rfam family "Bacterial small subunit ribosomal RNA", at positions 28 to 507 of the family's 1533-position model. The record is from RNAcentral.